UACGUAGGUGGCAAGCGUUGUCCGGAUUUACUGGGCGUAAAGGGUGCGUAGGCGGAUAUUUAAGUGAGAUGUGAAAUCCCCGAGCUUAACUUGGGUACUGCAUUUCAAACUGGAUAUCUAGAGUGCAGGAGAGGAGAAUGGAAUUCCUAGUGUAGCGGUGAAAUGCGUAGAGAUUAGGAAGAACACCAGUGGCGAAGGCGAUUCUCUGGACUGUAACUGACGCUGAGGCACGAAAGCGUGGGUAGCAAACAGG
Molecule: ribosomal RNA, 253 nt
Filed under: uncultured Clostridium sp.
Lineage: Bacteria; Bacillati; Bacillota; Clostridia; Eubacteriales; Clostridiaceae
Description: partial 16S ribosomal RNA
Rfam family: Bacterial small subunit ribosomal RNA
Source: RNAcentral